UGAAGUAGCUCAUUUUGAAUAAGUGGCUUGCCAAGCCAUUUCAGAGAGCACUUGAGAAUUAAGGCUGUGAAUCAGAAGCCUCAUGUGGACCACGACAGCUUUCAACAUUUCAAUGAGCUACCGAACAUUAUCGUAAUCCACUGCAUGGCAUGAGUCAUUGACAGCAGACAACGCCCAAUUCCACAAUAUUAAGAUAAACGCAAAAUCCUGGCUCUGUGAUUCCAACUUUCAUUAUCAUCAGCGGUCCCUCGCAGAUAAGGAUGAUUCUCAUCCAAUGUCAGGGCAAGUCUGUUGGUGGCUGUACAGACCACCACAGACUCUGUUACACUUGGGGCAGGUGGUGGUCAGAGGAAGAGGUGAAUGGGGCAUUGAUGUGGCAGUGCACUCCUUUUGGUGUUUUCGUCUGGCUUCCAUUUUUGCUAAUGGCAAGUCUCGAGGUGCUCGAUGCCUUCCCAGAUGCUCCUCCUCCACUUUGGACAGUCUUGGGCCAGUGAUUCCCAGGUGUCUGUGGAAAUGCUGCACUUCGCCAGUGAGGCCUUGAUUGUAUCACUGAAGCACUUCAGAAACUCGCCUGCCAUUUUGGAAGAAUUUCAAUAUGUAGCGAAGGGCUUAACCAUCAGGUUUAGGAUGAUAAGUAUUAAGUGAUUUUUGUGGCAAGAAAUUACCAACUUAAAUAAGAUAUCUCAUCACCUCUCCUUGAUAUUCACUGGCAGUUUCUGAGUACCCCCAACAUCAGAAUCCUCCAGGACUACCAUCAACCAUAAACUCACUUGGUCAGUAUUGAAGUGAAAUGGGUACUGAGAACAUCACAUGCUCAGUAUCUUCAAAAUCCUUCCAAAGCCUUUUUACAAUUCAGGGACAUUAUAGUGUACUCACUCUCACAGACACUACUCAAAAAUGGUCAUUAUGUCUUCAGAUGGCCUUCUAGUAGCUCCUACUGUUAAUUAGAUGUGUGUACACUUGCAGAUGUUUUGCAUGGUAGAUUGGUUGUAGUCUGAGAUGGUAAUGUCAAAGUUAGGAAAUCCAGGAAAAUAACAGCAUAUCUGCUUCAUCGAUCAGAUUGAGGAUUAUGAAAUUACAGUGUAAGGACCGAUAAGGACAUGUAAAUUAUGGUGGGUGAAUUCAUAAACUUAUGUUUUAAGGUAGUUAUUAUGUCAAACCUGUUUCCUCUGAAUUUGGCAGCAAACUUCUGGAGUUGGUGUGUGCAGUUAAAUGGAGAAAGCCCCAACUUGCUGUCAGAAAUUCACUGCUGUAGUCCUUGCAGAUGGUAAUGAA
Non-coding RNA from Chiloscyllium plagiosum (whitespotted bambooshark), 1275 nucleotides. The record is from RefSeq and is a predicted model, not a curated record. Lineage: Eukaryota; Metazoa; Chordata; Chondrichthyes; Orectolobiformes; Hemiscylliidae.